CCUACGGGAGGCAGCAGUAGGGAAUAUUGGGCAAUGGGGGCAACCCUGAAGCAGCAACGCCGCGUGGAGGAUGAAGGUUUUCGGAUUGUAAACUCCUUUUGUUAGAGAAGAUAAUGACGGUAUCUAACGAAUAAGAACCGGCUAACACCGUGCCAGCAGCCGCGGUAAUACGGAGGGUGCAAGCGUUACUCGGAAUCACUGGGCGUAAAGAGCGCGUAGGCCGGGUAGCAAGUCAGAUGUGAAAUCCUAGGGCUUAACCAGAGAACUGCAUUUGAAACUGUUAUUCUUGAGUAUGGGAGAGGUAGGUGGAAUUCUUGGUGUAGGGGUAAAAUCCGUAGAGAUCAAGAAGAAUACUCAUUGCGAAGGCGGCCUGCUAGAACAUAACUGACGCUGAUGCGCGAAAGCGUGGGGAGCAAACAGGAUUAGAUACCCUUGUAGUC
Molecule: ribosomal RNA, 440 nt
Filed under: uncultured bacterium
Lineage: Bacteria
Description: partial 16S ribosomal RNA
Rfam family: Bacterial small subunit ribosomal RNA
Source: RNAcentral